AAAAGAAUCAUAAUAAUCAAUUUUGUUAUCAUUCUUGAAAAAAAAAAAAAAAAAAAAAUAAAUAA
Molecule: non-coding RNA, 65 nt
Filed under: Paramoeba aestuarina
Lineage: Eukaryota; Discosea; Flabellinia; Dactylopodida; Paramoebidae
Source: RNAcentral